RNAcentral lists this long non-coding RNA (3336 nucleotides) under Mus pahari (shrew mouse). RNAcentral describes it as "predicted gene, 19325 (MGP_PahariEiJ_G0004305.1)". Lineage: Eukaryota; Metazoa; Chordata; Mammalia; Rodentia; Muridae. The record is from RNAcentral.
GGACGUCUCUUGAGUAACUCCUGAGGUUGACCUCUGACCUCCACAUGCACUCAGGCGUAUGAGUGUGCAUACUCUCACACACACAUAAAAAUCCAAAAUACACAGUAGAACAAAAGGCCUAAACAGCCUGGAUGCUUGUCCCGAAGUGAGGAGAGGGUGACAGUGUAGUUACAAAGUUUGGGAUAAUUAAAGACCAUAAGACUUGUAUACAGGGAUAUAGAAAAAACAAUGGAGCUGAAGGCAGAGCCAAGAACAGACUCACAUGCUUAAAGCAGAAUCUUGACUGGAAGAUGGGUGUGGUGGUGAACGCCUGCAGUCCCAGCGCUUGGAAGGCCUGGGCAGGAGAUUGAGAGAUUGAAGCCAGCCUGGACUACAUAACAAAACACUUGACAAAGAAAAGGAGAAGAAAACAAAAGAAACUUCAUUGAGUCAGAAAUAGCAUAAAACUGGAUGGACCAUCCAACAAAAUGGUACUGGCUCUGUGGUUAUCCACAUGAAAAGAUAGCAAUCUGGACAGUCAUCGCUAAUUGAUACACACCUCAUGUCCUAGAAUCUCCCUGUAGGCGGGUUAGACUUAAAUGUGACAGGCUAACCUUUUACAACUGUAAGAAAUCAUAGGAGAAAUGUCCCUGUAAACUAGUAGAGGAAAGGCUUUUCUGUGCUCAAUAUUAAAGUACACACCAGACAGGAAAUGACUGGUAAAUUAGUCUACAUUAAAUUUUAGAAUGUCUUUUCCUCAAAAUACUUCCCAAAAAGGAAAAUCUAAUCUAAUCCAAAGCCUGGAAAUAUUUGCAGUAUAUACAACUGUCAAGGGAUAGAAUCGGAAUACAUUAAAAACUUCUAUGAAUCAGUCCAUUAAAGACAACCCAAUAAAAAAAUCUGGACAAAGUCAUAAGUGGGCAUUUUACAGGAGAAUAAAACCUAAUAUACCUAAUAAAUGUGUGUUGGGGGGUCAUCUUAGCAAUUAGGAAACAGCAAGUUAAAUUGGAAUGAAAUGUGAUUUUUAAAUCUUUCAAAAACUGCAAAAAUCUAAUAAAUCGGAUGAUAUCAAAUGGAUGAGAGACAAAGAAAUUCUUAGGUGCUACAAUUACCUAAAGUGAGACUAUCAACACAGGGGAAAAUAUGCAUUCUACAGUUGAUGCUAAUACCAUAUAAGCUGGCCGGUUCGCUCCUAGACACAGACCCUAGAGAAAACAUAGCUCAGAUGUUCCAGGAGUCACACAAGAAUGUUCAUAGCAGCCUGGUUGCCAUAGCAAAACACUGAAAACACUCUCUCUGUCCAAGAACAGGAGAAUGGAGAAAUUCACAUGAGGGAAAAUGAAUGAACUCCAAGAGCAGCCUGACUCGGUCCAGGAGCCUGGUUUUGAAUAAGAAAAGUAAAUCCUAACGGUAAACAGAAAGUAAGCCAAGGCUGAAAGAUCAAAACCUGAAGAACACAACCAAGUAUCUAGGCAAGCAGGUGCCCGUCAAUAUGAAAAAUGAAAGCCAGAGAAUGGUAAACAAGUCCCGAUGAUAGGCGUUUGGGGCAGGAGAAAAUGUUUUUCUAUUCUGUCACCGUAUAACAAAUUACUCCCAGACUUCACUCAGAUAUUAAAUAAUAGGAUAGUCACUCACCACUUAGUUUCCAGGGACUAGAAGCCCGGGUCCUCCUCCAUCUCCAGGACUCUCCGCAGUGGUGUUGGAUCUGCCAGGAGGGGGGAGAGGCAAUUGAGGAAGGAUUCGCUUCCACUUUCCCCUUAUUACUGGGCUGAGAGUUCUGGAUCCCCCAGUAGUUUGCCCUUGAUUUUUUUUUUUUUUUUUUUUUUAAUGCUCAGGGAAGCUCUAAACCUCUAAAUGCUUUACCCCGCUGCCUAUGGAAAGAGCCUGGUGUGUAGCACUUUUGGGGACCCAUUCUCUCCAGCUCCUCAUCUUUCCCCAUCCACUGACUGCACCCUACCUGUCUCUUGGGCAGGUUGACUAACCAAUCUCCUGGUGAACAGGGCUUUCUCCCUGUUUAUAUCUGAGUGCCUGACCCAGGACCCACCCAGCUCACGAGCAGAGGAAGCAAUGUGGACCAAGAGAAAAGCUGGGGGCAUUCUGCAGUGAAAUGUGUUGCCAUGACAAAGGAGUAAAAGGGCUGUAAAGUUCCCAGUAGUGUGAGGUUAUAAAGAAUAGGGGGAGGGGUGAUCACGUUUUUUUUUUUUUUUUUUUAAAGAACUUUGGAAUUUCAGACAAUGGAUUGUAUAUUUCUGCUUGCUUGAAAUAUCCAUCAUUGGGAGAUGUUUCCUUUUUCCAAAUGAGACUUCUCAUCUUGAAAAAAAAAAUCAAACCUACAGAAGUUUUUAAUCUAUGUCCUUCAUUUAUUAACUCAUUUGUUAACAUCUUGGUACAUUUACUCUGUGUGUGUGCAUGCAUACAGCACACACUUGUGAGCUAGGUGAGAAUCCUUGAAGAUGUCCACAUCCUGAUGUCAGGACAUGUGUAUAUGGCAAGGAAGGAUUCAGGCUCUUAGUCAGCAGACCUUAAGCUAAUACACUAUCCUGGACUAUUAAGUCCAGUCACAAGUGUCUUUGUAGUUGGGAAGAAAGAGAGAGAAGAAUCAGGACCAGAGAGAUAUUGUGAGAAAGAUUCAACCAGCUCUUAUUGGUGUUUUAAGAUGAAAAGUUCAUGAGCCAAAGAAUGCAAGCAAAUUCUGGGAACUGAAAAGGGCCAAGAAAAAAAGGCUGGAGUUUCCAGAAAGGAAUGCAGCCUAGUGGGGCCCAUCUCAGACCCCUGGCUUUCAUGACAACAAAACAACAGUUUCUUGGGAUGUCUGCUUCCUACGGAUGGAGUUGUGCACAUUGGUAUCUUUCAAGGCAUUUUCCCAUUUCUUCUGCAUUAUCAAAUACACAAAGCUGUUCCCAAAGCUGUGUACAGGGUCAUGUGUUAACUUUUCACCACUGCGACAAUUGCCUGAGAAGAACACUUGAGAGGAGGAAAGAUUUAUUUUGGCUCACAGUUUCAAAGCUUUCAGUCCCGGUUUCUGGGUUUCUGUCUCCAUUGUUUUUGAGGGACGCUGAGUUCAGUUGUUCAGAGGGAGCCCGAGGGAUGCAUCCUCUGACUGUCAUCAGCCAUGCUGGGUGGACCUUUCUACGAUGCAGCUACCACUGACGUCACAUCCUGUAACCAGCCUCUCGCUGUAGUCCUGUAUGGAACCCAAGAAGCUCACUGGGUCACUACGCAAGAUUGGGGUUGUAUCAUGUUUCCGUUGUGGGUGCCUUAUCGGGUUGAUAGCCCUCCGUUCUUUCAGGAAAAACAAAAAAUCACACACGUUUCUUGUUCAGAACCUAACAGUAAGAUAAAAGGUUUUCUGUUACC